GGUACACGCUAUUGUACCACCUCGACGUGCGAUAGGUGAAGCGAUUUGGAAAGCGAACAGGUUUACUUCUGGCUAAUCAAUUGCGACGUAAGGCUGUUACUAAGGUUUGGAACCUAGUUUGGUUCAAUUACCGGCGUUUCAUACCAGUGCUCGGUAACACCAAAGUUAGCGGUUAGUGGUUCUAUCACACGUGCACCAAAACGAUUGACUAGUAGUCAGUAAAAAUCCGGAAAAAAAUUGACAAAUACCGACGAUCCCGUCGGUGCGGCUGGUCGACGUUACUGCAACGUUACGGCACGGCUCAGAGGGGAGCCUAUUUUGUCAUUAGCGAUACAGCGGUAAAUUGUUUUUCCCAAACGAUUGGAUUCUGGUGCUUGGUACGGUAGAGUGGUGAUAGACGAGGGUCGAAGGAUUUGGUUGAUACGUGCUGGAAGCGUAGAGGCCAUGGCGCACCGCAAUCAACUUAAGCUUAUGAAGGAUGGUUCACAAUGGCAACGGCCAAACGUUGUCAUCACACGUAGCAUUCCCGACAGUACAACGAAUAACGGACAAACGGACUUGAAUAUGAGACACGAUGUUUACGAAGAAGGCUCA
This is a long non-coding RNA of Armigeres subalbatus, 594 nucleotides long. RefSeq lists it as uncharacterized. The record is from RefSeq and is a predicted model, not a curated record. The transcript has 3 exons. Lineage: Eukaryota; Metazoa; Arthropoda; Insecta; Diptera; Culicidae.